RNAcentral lists this ribosomal RNA (504 nucleotides) under uncultured bacterium. Its description in RNAcentral is "partial 16S ribosomal RNA". It matches the Rfam family "Bacterial small subunit ribosomal RNA", at positions 30 to 523 of the family's 1533-position model. The record is from RNAcentral.
AUUGAACGCUGGCGGCAUGCCUUACACAUGCAAGUCGAACGGCAGCAUGGAGAGCUUGCUCUCUGAUGGCGAGUGGCGAACGGGUGAGUAAUGCAUCGGAACGUACCGUGUAAUGGGGGAUAACGUAGCGAAAGUUACGCUAAUACCGCAUACGACCUGAGGGUGAAAGCAGGGGAUCGCAAGACCUUGCGUUAUACGAGCGGCCGAUGUCAGAUUAGCUAGUUGGUGAGGUAAAGGCUCACCAAGGCGACGAUCUGUAGCGGGUCUGAGAGGGUGAGCCGCGACACUGGAGCUGAGAACCGGCCCAGACGCCUACGGGAGGCAGCAGUGGGGAAUUUUGGACAAUGGGGGCAACCCUGAUCCAGCCAUGCCGCGUGAGUGAAGAAGGCCUUCGGGUUGUAAAGCUCGUUCGGCCGGGAAGAAAUCGCACAGGCUAAUACUCUGUGUGGAUGACAGUACCGGCAUAAGAAGCACCGGCUAACUACGUGCCAGCCGCCGCCGUAA